UAAAUAAUUUCUGUAUGCAAUUGUUUGUAAUCUUCUUCAUCAUCUAAAUAGAAGGUAGACUUAUUUUGUUUAGAAAACAUGCCUACCAAAUUAAGUGUAAACUAAAAGAAAGGGGUUUUCCAUUCUUUUAGAGUGAAUUGCAGCCACUUAUUUUUACCAAAGUUGCAACUUGGACUAGGAAAAAGACUAGAUUUUUACAUUGGGCCAGAGAAGUUUACAAAAGGAUUCACUUUGCACCACUUUCCUGUCCAGCUAUUCAUCUCUUUCCUCUCCAGCGUCUUGCCAAACUUGUUGAGCUCAUGAAGGAAGCAGCUUGCAGCUCCUCGCUGUAGCAGGGAGUCAGGUGCUGCAUUGAUUUUAAUUUGGGAACUGGGGCACGUCAAAUCCUUUGCGAUGAGCAGCAAACGGGGACGUUUUGCUGAAGUAGUCCACCAAGAUGCGCAAGGUGUGAGUAGAGAGUGUACAUCGAGUCCCGGCGCCUGACGAAAGUCGAGCUCACUAACAGAGCAAGACAUGAAUCUUUGCUCUGACCUCUUCUUCCCCAAAGUCCCAAACCCAUUGUCUCUGUGUUCAUGUCUCCAUUUUCCCUUGCAUCCCUCCCUCUUCUAUUAUGUUGUUCCGCUCACAUCAAGAUCUUGAGCUUGAGCAGUCCGGCAUCUCUCUCUUGUUUCUCAUCAAUCUGGUGCCGGCUAUGAUUAGAAACAAGAAGAGAUCACCGGCGUUGUUGGAGAACGCUCUGACGUGCGGGCCAUAGGGCCAUAUUGCAAAGUUUGGUAACAAAACCUAGUGUAAAGUGAAAAGGCAUAUGGAUGUAUGGUUUAAAAUGCAACUUGGGUAAUAAAGCCUAGCCCAAAAUGCAAUUCACUCUUUUUUUUAAUUGGAUUACUGAUAUUAGGUUGUCCAUUGUUUAUUGACAGAUGUAUUAGGUAGGACAUGAGGCUACACUAAAUACAUGGAUUUCUUAAGCCUAAUAUGAUUGCAUAGUUUGAUAGGCAAUCCAUCUGUGAACAUUUCAUUUAGAGUGUGUGCGAGGCUCCACAUAGCCUAUUAUGAAUAUGAUUGGAUGGCUAAAUAUAAUUGUGUAAUAAUUAUUUUUGGAA
This is a non-coding RNA of Oryza sativa Japonica Group (Japanese rice), 1100 nucleotides long. NCBI's taxonomy places the organism in Eukaryota, Viridiplantae, Streptophyta, Magnoliopsida, Poales, Poaceae. The record is from RefSeq and is a predicted model, not a curated record.